AUUGAACGCUGGCGGCAUGCCUUACACAUGCAAGUCGAACGGUAACGCGGGGCAACCUGGCGACGAGUGGCGAACGGGUGAGUAAUGCAUCGGAACGUGCCCAGUAGUGGGGGAUAGCUCGACGAAAGUCGAAUUAAUACCGCAUACGACCUAAGGGUGAAAGGGGGGGAUCGCAAGACCUCUCGCUAUUGGAGCGGCCGAUGUCAGAUUAGGUAGUUGGUAGGGUAAAAGCCUACCAAGCCUAUGAUCUGUAGCUGGUCUGAGAGGACGACCAGCCACACUGGGACUGAGACACGGCCCAGACUCCUACGGGAGGCAGCAGUGGGGAAUUUUGGACAAUGGGCGCAAGCCUGAUCCAGCCAUGCCGCGUGCGGG
This 375-nucleotide ribosomal RNA is filed under the name uncultured bacterium. Its description in RNAcentral is "bacterial SSU rRNA". It matches the Rfam family "Bacterial small subunit ribosomal RNA", at positions 30 to 407 of the family's 1533-position model. The record is from RNAcentral.